Molecule: long non-coding RNA, 1540 nt
Organism: Acinonyx jubatus (cheetah)
Lineage: Eukaryota; Metazoa; Chordata; Mammalia; Carnivora; Felidae
Exons: 3
Source: RefSeq, a predicted model, not a curated record
AGGUGUGAGUCGGUGCCUGCUGCCUUCAAUCAACUACUCUUUAGUCAGAUGGUCUGCAGGGCACUGAGUUGAGCCCCCCGGCCUCCAAGUGCUUACUUAAAUCGAUUGGCAUUCAGUAAAAUGGAAAAGCUGCUUCCUCAGGCGCACUGGCCCCACGUACCCCCCCCUCCACACACACCCCCCUCCCCCCGGCUCAUGAGUACCCACCAAAGUGUAGCCAUCACGCAGGGUGGGGUGUUCAGGGGGCGUGAUGGAGGAAGACGGCAGAAUCCACAGAGGGGGCAAAUGAAUGCUCGGACUCAACCAUGUCCCCCAGAGCGCCCCCCACCCCCGGGGACUGUAUUUGGAGGUGGGGCCUCUACACUGGGAAUUAAGGUGGAAUGAGGUCCUCAGGAAGGGCCCUGAUCCCACAGGAAGGGGAGGAGACGCAGUGUCCCGCGCGGGAAGACGCAGAGAGAAGGUGGCCGGCUUUGAGCCAAGGAGGGAGCCUCCCCAGGAGGGGGACCCCCGCCCUGUCCACGCUCUGACCUUGGCCUUCUGGCCUCCGGAACCGUGAGAGAAUCACUGUCUGCUGUUUGAGCCCCCAGUCGGCGGUUUCCGUGUGGAUGUGUGCUGUUUUCCGUUCUCUUGGGAGCACCAAGGAGUGCUGUCACCAGAGUUGGCCAGAGGUGUUCUGGGGAUGACCGAGGAAUGAGACGAGACACCUGCUCCUAGGAUGUCUCCCUAGCCAGCUCCUUGGACCUUGAAUUUCCCCUACCCUCCCAGCCAGUUGGACUCUUUAAAGAGAGAAAAGCCCUUGGCCACCCAGCGACUGCUGAUUACCCCCACCAUGCAGGAGGUAAAUAUCUACUUGUUGAUUUUGCUGUUCACGUUCUUACCAAAUUGAACAUACCUGUCUUUCGUAGGCAAACUUCUGAAAUGUGUAUCCCCGGGUGUUUGAGAAAUACACAUGGGUCUGAGAUAUCUGAUCUCCAUGCAAAUAAGCAAACACGGAAUUACUUAUAUCCUGGAAGAACAGACACAUAGAAGUCUCUUUACUUUUUUUCCUAAAUUUUUUAAAUGUUUGUUUAUUUUGAGAAAGAGAGAGAGAGAGAGCAAGCAGGGGAGGGGCAGAGAGAGGGAGAGAAUCCCAAGCAGGCUGAGUGCUGUCAGCACAGAGCCCCACAUGGGGCUCAGACUUACAAACCCUGAGGUCAUGAACUAAGCCGAAAUCGAGUCAGACGCUUAACUGACUGAGCCACCUAGGUGCCCCAUAAAACAGUCUCUUUAAAAGCAGAGAAAGGGUAGAGCUUGCAACUGACAGACAGAUACGUUCUAGAGAGUCUAAUGCACAGCAUAGCGAUGGCAGGCAACAAUAUGUAUUACCAAUUUCAGAGUUGUUAAAAGACUAGAUCUUAAUUGUUCUCACCACACACCAAAAAGGGUAAUCAUGUGAUGGAGGUGUUAGUGAAUGCUAUGAUGGCAUUUACUGCCACCUAUACGUGUAUCAAAUCAAUACACUGUGCACCUUAAAUUGACACAUUGUUGUAUCUCAAUUAUA